AGUGGUACGCGAGCUGGGUUUAGAACGUCGUGAGACAGUUCGGUCCCUAUCUGCCGUGGGCGCUGGAGAACUGAGGGGGGCUGCUCCUAGUACGAGAGGACCGGAGUGGACGCAUCACUGGUGUUCGGGUUGUCAUGCCAAUGGCACUGCCCGGUAGCUAAAUGCGGAAGAGAUAAGUGCUGAAAGCAUCUAAGCACGAAACUUGCCCCGAGAUGAGUUCUCCCUGACUCCCUGAGAGUCCUGAAGGAACGUUGAAGACGACGACGUUGAUAGGCCGGGUGUGUAAGCGCAGCGAUGCGUUGAGCUAACCGGUACUAAUGAACCGUGAGGCUUAACCUUACAACGCCGAAGCUGUU
Molecule: ribosomal RNA, 356 nt
Filed under: Escherichia coli
Lineage: Bacteria; Pseudomonadati; Pseudomonadota; Gammaproteobacteria; Enterobacterales; Enterobacteriaceae
Description: bacterial LSU rRNA
Rfam family: Bacterial large subunit ribosomal RNA
Source: RNAcentral